GCUCCAAUAGCGUAUAUUAAAGUUGUUGCAGUUAAAAAGCUCGUAGUUGGAUUUGUGGCUCGUGCUUGCGGCUCGGCAUUCGUGCCGGUGUUUGCUCGCGCGGCCAUCCUUGGGUGGAACCUGUGUGGCAUUAGGUUGUCGUGCAGGGGAUGCCAUCGUUUACUGUGAAAAAAUUAGAGUGUUCAAAGCAGGCUUAUGCC
This 200-nucleotide ribosomal RNA is filed under the name uncultured eukaryote. RNAcentral describes it as "partial 18S ribosomal RNA". It matches the Rfam family "Eukaryotic small subunit ribosomal RNA", at positions 588 to 795 of the family's 1831-position model. The record is from RNAcentral.